GCACAGACAUGGUAGAAACCCAGCUUUGGUAAUGCUGAUGAGCACAUCAGGGAAUGGUGAUGCAGCAGAAAGGAAGAAACCUGUGUUGUUUGAUGACCUUCACCACCUGGACCAGAGGGACUGUAAUGUGAGAAAUACAUUUCUAUCUAAUCUAGUUCCACUUGCCCAUAGGGGGUCGCUCGCAGAUGCCUCCAAUCCGGCGUUUCAGACCAGAGCUCCCCGUGAGAAACGCCUGCCCGGACACCUCAGCUCGGCGUCCUGUGUGCAAAAGGGCUGCUCACGGCACUGCGAUUCAAGAUGGCGGAUGCGGGCCGUGCGCAGAGACUCUGCGCCCAGCACCGUGAUCUGGGGCCUGAACAGCGCAGCUGCACCUGCCUUGCAACAACUCCACCUCCCUCGCCUCUGCCAAGAUCCCUAUAAAGCAGGCUGGCCCACGGCCAAUCGGGAGAUCACGUGCUCUAGAGCUCUCGCCCCUCCAUUCUCUGAUCACAGAAUAAAGCUUGUCUUUGCUUCUGAACCCAACUUGGUCUUGUUCUAUUGGCUUGAUCAACACUGGGCGGAAGGACCCUUGCUGGGGACUGACUCUGGAGGAUUCGUAACACUUAAAAAAGAAAGUGACCACUGAGUUCGAGUUCAUGGAGAAUGCCAUUUCUUCUGCACAUUCAAAUGUGACCUGCCAUAAGGACCCUGGAGGCCACAUAUUCCGGAUGGCAGAGCUACAGGAUAGAGGAGAGCCACCCACCAUAUUGGACUUAAUUUACAAUAUUAAUCUAAGGGCUGGAGUGGAACAGCCAUCUUAGAUCAGGAGGCAGAAGCAGUAUAUUGAAGAUGGUAGAGCAAAACAACAAAAGAAGCCUGGGUUUCUGACACCAUACCUGCCAUGGACACCAUAUGUUUGGAUUGUUAAACAAGAGUGAAACUAAUAUCUAUCUGACUUAACCCACAAUUCUUUUUGGAUUUCUCUUAACUGAGGUCAUGCUAACUCUAACUAAUACAAAGGUAUUGAGAAUCUAAAUUAUCAUGGCAUUUAUGGAAAUGAAAAUAAAGACAGAUCUGAGGUGCGAUAUGACAAACAGAAUUUGUAUCUCCAAGCUGAACAGCCUUCCCUUCCCUUUCAUUUCCUAAAAUGACCCUGACUUCUUACUGUACUGCCUAUGUCUCCUCUUCUCCCUUGACCUCCCACUUACUAAGUUCACUAGUGCCUUCCUAUAAACAAGGGUAAUCACUCUAACCCUGCCUUUCUGGCACCAAACUGUCCCAAUUCCUAAUUUUCCAAGCACAGUCCUAAAGUUGUAUUACCUCCACACACGCUUUCCCUCUUCCUACUUGCAGGCUCUCACCACGCCGCUCCACGUUGCACACCACCCCUCCAGCUGUACUCCUGCACACCACAUUCACCACGCCACAACCCCGACUGAAAACCAUUAAUGACUGCUUAUUGGCUAAAUAGCCAUGCUACCGCCUUUCACCUCCCAACCUCGCGAUGGACACAACAGAGAAUGCAAAGCAAUCACAGCAGUGCUCUCCAAAAGAGCAGCCCAGAAGCCUUCCCAAAAGAAUGUUUCA
This is an RNA transcript of Physeter macrocephalus (sperm whale), 1566 nucleotides long. RefSeq lists it as uncharacterized. The record is from RefSeq and is a predicted model, not a curated record. NCBI's taxonomy places the organism in Eukaryota, Metazoa, Chordata, Mammalia, Artiodactyla, Physeteridae. The transcript has 5 exons.